CAUCACCAAGGAUUUGAAAGCCACACUUCUCUUCUAAGGCUUCCAUUCCUUUCUGAUUGGCACACUUGCAGCCCAUUACAACUUCUGUAGAAUAGCAUUCAAUGUGGAUUUCCACUCUUUCCCAUUGUCCAUGUUAAAGUGAAAGGUUUAGGCACUACAUACAAUUGGUAAAGAAAAUAUAUUUUCUUGAGAGUUAUAACUAUAUGUAAACAUUGUAUAAUGAUAUGAAAUAAAAUGCACAUUGUAGGACAUUUUCUUAAAAAAA
This 265-nucleotide long non-coding RNA is filed under the name Marmota monax (woodchuck). The record is from RNAcentral. Lineage: Eukaryota; Metazoa; Chordata; Mammalia; Rodentia; Sciuridae.